This 506-nucleotide ribosomal RNA is filed under the name uncultured bacterium. RNAcentral's name for it is "partial 16S ribosomal RNA". It matches the Rfam family "Bacterial small subunit ribosomal RNA", at positions 30 to 523 of the family's 1533-position model. The record is from RNAcentral.
AUUGAACGCUGGCGGCAGGCCUAACACAUGCAAGUCGAACGGCAGCGGGGGAUAGCUUGCUAUCCUGCCGGCGAGUGGCGGACGGGUGAGUAAUGCAUGGGGAGCUGCCCAGUCGAGGGGGAUAACAACUGGAAACGGUUGCUAAUACCGCAGACGCCCUAAGGGGGAAAGGUGGGGAACUUCGGUCCUACCGCGAUUGGCUGCGCCCAUGUGGGAUUAGCUAGUUGGUGAGGUAACGGCUCACCAAGGCGACGAUCUCUAGCUGGUCUGAGAGGAUGUCCAGCCACACUGGAACUGAGACACGGUCCAGACUCCUACGGGAGGCAGCGGUGGGGAAUAUUGCACAAUGGGGGAAACCCUGAUGCAGCCAUGCCGCGUGUGUGAAGAAGGCCUUCGGGUUGUAAAGCACUUUCAGUCAGGAGGAAGGGGUGAUGGCUAAUAUCCAUCAUCAUUGACGUUACUGACAGAAGAAGCACCGGCUAACUCCGUGCCAGCAGCCGCAGUAA